GACCUACGGGAGGCAGCAGUGGGGAAUAUUGCACAAUGGGGGAAACCCUGAUGCAGCGACGCCGCGUGAGCGAAGAAGUAUUUCGGUAUGUAAAGCUCUAUCAGCAGGAACGAGACAAGACGGUACCUGACUAAGAAGCCCCGGCUAACUACGUGCCAGCAGCCGCGGUAAUACGUAGGGGGCAAGCGUUAUCCGGAAUCACUGGGGGUAAAGGGAGCGUAGACGGCUGAGCAAGCCUGAAGUGAAAGUCGGGGGCCCAACCCCCGGACUGCUUUGGGACCUGUAAGGCUGGAGUGCAGGAGGGG
This 305-nucleotide ribosomal RNA is filed under the name uncultured bacterium. RNAcentral describes it as "bacterial SSU rRNA". It matches the Rfam family "Bacterial small subunit ribosomal RNA", at positions 334 to 657 of the family's 1533-position model. The record is from RNAcentral.